Molecule: small nuclear RNA, 308 nt
Filed under: Peromyscus maniculatus bairdii (prairie deer mouse)
Lineage: Eukaryota; Metazoa; Chordata; Mammalia; Rodentia; Cricetidae
Description: 7SK RNA (ENSPEMG00000004428.2)
Rfam family: 7SK RNA
About the family: 7SK was discovered as an abundant small nuclear RNA in the mid-70s but a possible function has only recently been suggested. Two independent studies have found that 7SK RNA binds the CDK9/cyclin T complex (known as elongation factor P-TEFb).
Source: Rfam by way of RNAcentral
GGAUGUGUAUGUGACAUGACUUCAACACCUGUCACCCUUCUGAUCAUUUAAGUGGAUUCUGGCUGACUUGGCUUGCUAGGUUGUGUUCCUUUUCUUCCUUAUCACUCCUUGCAAUCUCUCUUGAAGCUACACACUGGGUCAAAGAGGAUGAUCUUCUCAGAAUAAAGGAGGAUAGGUCUCCAGUCUAGACUACGUGAAUAGGUAUGCUUCUAUGGUAGGGUCUAUAAACAAGCUAACAAGAUUUAUUUUUAUUUUGAGACAUAUUCUCACACUACAUUCUAGACUGGCCCACGGUUCAGUAAGUUUUA